CAGUCGCCACGGGAAUACGGAGGGUGCAAGCGUUAAUCGGAAUUACUGGGCGUAAAGCGCACGCAGGCGGUCUGACAAGUCAGAUGUGAAAUCCCCGGGCUUAACCUGGGAACUGCAUUUGAAACUGUCAGGCUGGAGUCUUGUAGAGGGGGGUAGAAUUCCAGGUGUAGCGGUGAAAUGCGUAGAGAUCUGGAGGAAUACCGGUGGCGAAGGCGGCCCCCUGGACAAAGACUGACGCUCAGGUGCGAAAGCGUGGGGAGCAAACAGGAUUAGAGACCCGCGUAGUCCCUGUCUCUUAUAA
RNAcentral lists this ribosomal RNA (301 nucleotides) under uncultured bacterium. RNAcentral's name for it is "partial 16S ribosomal RNA". It matches the Rfam family "Bacterial small subunit ribosomal RNA", at positions 509 to 809 of the family's 1533-position model. The record is from RNAcentral.